UCUACGGGGGGCAGCAGUGAGGAAUAUUGGUCAAUGGUCGGGAGACUGAACCAGCCAAGCCGCGUGAGGGAGGAAGGUACAGAGUAUCGUAAACCUCUUUUGUCGGGGAGCAAAGCGAGUCACGUGUGACUCAUUGAGAGUACCCGAAGAAAAAGCAUCGGCUAACUCCGUGCCAGCAGCCGCGGUAAUACGGAGGAUGCGAGCGUUAUCCGGAUUUAGUGGGUUUAAAGGGUGCGCAGGCGGAGGUGCAAGUCAGCGGUCAAAUUGCGGGGCUCAACCCCGUACUGCCGUUGAAACUGCAUCCCUUGAGUGCGCGAGAAGUAUGCGGAAUGCGUGGUGUAGCGGUGAAAUGCAUAGAUAUCACGCAGAACUCCGAUUGCGAAGGCAGCAUACCGGCGCGCAACUGACGCUCAUGCACGAAAGCGUGGGUAUCGAACAGGAUUAGAUACCCUAGUAGUC
RNAcentral lists this ribosomal RNA (459 nucleotides) under uncultured bacterium. RNAcentral's name for it is "partial 16S ribosomal RNA". It matches the Rfam family "Bacterial small subunit ribosomal RNA", at positions 338 to 795 of the family's 1533-position model. The record is from RNAcentral.